RNAcentral lists this long non-coding RNA (239 nucleotides) under Neogale vison (American mink). RNAcentral's name for it is "Neovison vison (American mink) lncRNA (ENSNVIG00000014591.1)". Lineage: Eukaryota; Metazoa; Chordata; Mammalia; Carnivora; Mustelidae. The record is from RNAcentral.
GCACUGUUUGUGGCGAGGCAAGGGAAGAAGGAGAGAAGAAAACUGCACGGGAUCUGUGGAGGUCUUCUCCCAUGGACCUACAGUAAGGCUGGAAGCCAGGGAAAGGGGGAGACUGGCAUGGAACCAUGAAGGUUUGUGUGAAGGUGGGCAGCACCUGGGGAUAACAAGAAGAUCUUCCUGCAGGUCUGCUGUAGGGCUUGAGAUUACUGGAGGCAAAGAAACAAGGAGGAAAUUGCCCC